GUGUGGUUUUAAUUCGAUGAUACGCGAAGAACCUUACCUGGUCUUGACAUGCACGUGGUACUGAUUCGAAAGAUGAGGGACCCUUCGGGGAGCGUGCACAGGUGUUGCACGGCCGUCGUCGAGCCUCGUGCCGUGAGGUCGUUGGGUUAAGUCUCGCAACGAGCGCAACCCCCGUCGCCGAGUUGUAUUUUUCUGGCGAGACUGCCGGGAAAUCCCGGAGGAAGGAGGGGAUGAUGUCAGGUCAGCGUCGGCCCUUACGACCAGGGCUACACACACGCUACAAUGGGUGGUACAGAGGGUCGCGAAAGCCGCGAGGUGGAGCUAAUCCCAACAAAGCCAUCCUCAGUUCGGAUUGCAGGCUGAAACUCGCCUGCAUGAAGCCGGAGUUGCUAGUAACCGCAGGUCAGCACUACUGCGGUGAAUACGUUCCCGGGCCUU
This 438-nucleotide ribosomal RNA is filed under the name uncultured Chloroflexota bacterium. RNAcentral's name for it is "bacterial SSU rRNA". It matches the Rfam family "Bacterial small subunit ribosomal RNA", at positions 939 to 1382 of the family's 1533-position model. Lineage: Bacteria; Bacillati; Chloroflexota. The record is from RNAcentral.